Molecule: ribosomal RNA, 275 nt
Filed under: uncultured bacterium
Lineage: Bacteria
Description: partial 16S ribosomal RNA
Rfam family: Bacterial small subunit ribosomal RNA
Source: RNAcentral
GCGUGAGUGAUGAAGGCCUUCGGGUUGUAAAGCUCUUUUGGCGGGGACGAUGAUGACGGUACCCGCAGAAUAAGCCCCGGCUAACUUCGUGCCAGCAGCCGCGGUAAUACGAAGGGGGCUAGCGUUGUUCGGAAUUACUGGGCGUAAAGGGCGCGUAGGCGGUCCUGAUCGUCGGAUGUGAAAGGCCUGGGCUCAACCUGGGAACUGCAUCCGAUACGGCGGGACUGGAGUGUGGGAGAGGUUGGUGGAAUUCCCAGUGUAGAGGUGAAAUUCGU